UUCGUUAGGACGAAAGUGGUCCUAGAAUGGAGGUAGAGCAUAGCUUUCACAGACUCGAGGUUCAUCUAGUGAGAACUUCGAGGAGUUUGGUUAGGGCUUCAGAUACUUGGGAUGUAAAGUGGAGAGAGAAAUCAAGCAAAAAAAAUCUACCAUUAGUGGAGUUGGCUCGGAUCCUGAAGGAGUCAACUCGGAUCAGCUUGAGUCGAUUCAGACCCUAAGAGAGCCGACUCGAAGGCCAAAUAUGAAGCAACAUUUUAUGGCAUACUACUGGCACAGCAGUCGAGC
This 285-nucleotide long non-coding RNA is filed under the name Elaeis guineensis (African oil palm). RNAcentral describes it as "long non-coding RNA (EGUI_LNC004325)". The record is from RNAcentral. Lineage: Eukaryota; Viridiplantae; Streptophyta; Magnoliopsida; Arecales; Arecaceae.